This is a long non-coding RNA of Vicia villosa (hairy vetch), 839 nucleotides long. RefSeq lists it as uncharacterized. The record is from RefSeq and is a predicted model, not a curated record. Lineage: Eukaryota; Viridiplantae; Streptophyta; Magnoliopsida; Fabales; Fabaceae. The transcript is spliced from 3 exons.
AAAUUUGCACUGUUGUUGUUGAAUGUGGUUCUUGCAGGCGAAUAAUGAUGUGAUGUUGAAGGUUGCGAUGCGUGGCGGUGGCGAUGACGAAGGUGGAUGCGAUGCGUGCCGAUGGCGAAGGUGGAUGCGAUGAACGAAAUUUGUUCGUGAAGAUUACACAGAGAACGAUGAUUCUCCGUGAGAUGAUGAAGAUGAUGAUCGAUGAUGAUGAUGAUGAUGAUCGAUGAUGAUGAUGAAGAGUUUGAAGAUUAUGAGCGUUACUCGAGAAUUCCCGGUUGAGAGGUUAUGAAGGUUCAGAGGAAGUUUGUUACCAAUUCGGUUACAAUUUUCUGUUAGAGUUUUUGUUGAAGAUUGAAGCGUGGUUGAUGAUUGGAGGAUGAUGAAUGAAUCGUUUUCUGCAGAUGAAGUUGUGAAGAGUUUCUUGUUCUUCUGCAGGUUGAAGAUUUGAACGAAGAUUGAAGGAAGAUGAGACUGAAGUUAUGGCGGUUAUGGUGAUUUUCGUUUUGUUGCAAGUUUGGAGAGGGAAGCGAACUGUUAUUCUGAAGGAGUGGUCAAGAAGAUUGGUUAUGGUUGAAUGAAUCUUGGAGAGAAAGUUUGUUUCAGGCUCGGUUUCAAGAGGUACAGGGAAUGUCAUGGAGGCUUCUUGAAAUGGGCUUAUGAAAGUCAUUGGUUUUUUUUUUGUGUAAUAUUUCUUGUAAUCGACUUGUAAUGGGCUACGCUUUUGAACAUGUGAUGAAUGGAUUUUAGUUAAAAUUGUGAUUUCUUGUAGUAUUUUUCUGUGUAAUUUUUGUGGAUGCACAUUUGAGAAUGUAUGGACCUUGGAAUAUUUUUGUAAUGAA